RNAcentral lists this ribosomal RNA (499 nucleotides) under uncultured bacterium. RNAcentral describes it as "partial 16S ribosomal RNA". It matches the Rfam family "Bacterial small subunit ribosomal RNA", at positions 28 to 507 of the family's 1533-position model. The record is from RNAcentral.
GACGAACGCUGGCGGCGUGCCUAAUACAUGCAAGUCGAGCGAAGUUUUUCUGGUGCUUGCACUAGAAAAACUUAGCGGCGAACGGGUGAGUAACACGUAAAGAACCUGCCUCAUAGACUGGGACAACUAUUGGAAACGAUAGCUAAUACCGGAUAACAGUAUUUCCCGCAUGAGAGAUAUUUAAAAGUUGGUUAUGCUAACACUAUGAGAUGGCUUUGCGGUGCAUUAGCUAGUUGGUGGGGUAAAGGCCCACCAAGGCGACGAUGCAUAGCCGACCUGAGAGGGUGAUCGGCCACACUGGGACUGAGACACGGCCCAGACUCCGACGGGAGGCAGCAGUAGGGAAUCUUCCGCAAUGGGCGAAAGCCUGACGGAGCAACGCCGCGUGAGUGAAGAAGGAUUUCGGUUCGUAAAGCUCUGUUGUUAGGGAAGAAUGGAUAUGUAGUAACUAUACAUGUAAGAGACGGUACCUAACCAGAAAGCCACGGCUAACUACGUG